Molecule: long non-coding RNA, 913 nt
Organism: Saccostrea echinata
Lineage: Eukaryota; Metazoa; Mollusca; Bivalvia; Ostreida; Ostreidae
Exons: 2
Source: RefSeq, a predicted model, not a curated record
GGGGGGGGGGGGGGAGAAUGAAAUGAUACACAUUUUGUACCGACCAUUUUAGCAUCAGGUUUUUCCAUAACUAGAUAAGGUAUUGGGUAGAGAUUGAUUACAUGUAAUUGAUUAUUAAAAUGUCAAAAAUGUUUUGUCUAUAGAGCAUUUGUUUAUUCCUUUUUACACUCGACAGGGGUUUCAAAUGAACAUUACAAUUGUUUAUUCAGUUUUACACUUGACAAAGGUUUUAACAUAGAAACUUUUAAAUGCACAUUUUAAAUACAUAUAUCUAAUUAUUAUUAAAUGACAGGUAAUAAAGAAGGUCAAGAUAACUAAAAAUGAUUUCAGAACUUGGUGGAUCUAGAUAAGAAUCCUACCAAUGCUUUGUCCUUAACUGAAUACUGCUGUUAGCAAGUGUAUAUACUUAUAUUUGUUUAACUUUUUGAUUAAGCUUCUUUGCUCUCACAUCAGAAUGAGGACCAAUGAUUGGCAGUGGACUAUGUUAUUGUGCAAUAUAUAUAAUAAAGCUUUAGACAUUUGUGUGUUCACUACAUUGAAGUGCAAUAUGGUUUGUGUUAAGACAGGUAUAUAAAGUAUUCACUUCUCUGUCAAAGAUGAUGUACAGUCUCAAAUCUCACUUGUUAUUUUAAUACUCGUUUAAUGUAUUUCUCCAGCAUUUAUUUGUUUUUAAAAUACAGGGUGUAUACUAAGUUUGUUGCUCCACAAUUUAAAGAAUGAGUAUCGAAGAAUUUACACAGGACAUGUAUCAAUUUCUGUUUAUUAGUAUUGAUGCUUUAUAAUAACAUGAUGCAUUUCCUUUUUUUUUUCCAAAUUUAAACUUGUCAUUAUUACCCUUUAAUGUUUUUUUUUUUUAUUUUUUGCAGUUUUACAAAAUGUCAUAGUACUAAAAUGCAAUAAAUUUUGAUAGGUU